This 630-nucleotide ribosomal RNA is filed under the name Cylindrotheca closterium. Its description in RNAcentral is "partial Bacterial small subunit ribosomal RNA". It matches the Rfam family "Bacterial small subunit ribosomal RNA", at positions 505 to 1118 of the family's 1533-position model. The record is from RNAcentral. Lineage: Eukaryota; Bacillariophyta; Bacillariophyceae; Bacillariales; Bacillariaceae.
GUGCCAGCAGCCGCGGUAAUACGGGAAGGGCAAGCGUUAUCCGGCAUGACUGGGCGUAAAGAGUCCGUAGACUGUAAAGUAAGUUUUUUGUCAAAUUUUAAAACCUAAUUUUAAAAUAGCAAUUAAUACUACUUUACUUUGAGUUUAAUACAGAAAAGUAGAAUUUUAUACGAAGGGGUGAAAUCUGUAGAUAUAUAAAGGAAUGCCGGUAGCGAAGGCGACUUUUUGGUAUAAACUGACGUUGAGGGACGAAAGUGUGGGUAGCAAACAGGAUUAGAGACCCUGGUAGUCCACACCGUAAAUUCUGAGUGCUGUAAUUUAAUUGUAAUAUUUUAAAUAUUAUUUAGAUUUUCAAGCUAACGCAAUAAGCACUCCGCCUGAAGAGUACGAUCGCAAGAUUGGAACUCAAAGGAAUUGACGGGGGUCUAACACUAGUGGUGGAGCAUGUGGUUUAAUGCGAUAAUCCGCGCAAAACCUUACCAAUUCUUGACAUAAUUAAAUUAUAGCUUUUAAUUCAGUGUAGGAGUUAAAAGUGAUGUUUUUUUACAGGUGUUGCACGACUGUCGUCAGCUCGUGUCGUGAGAAGUUGAGUUAAGUCCCGCAACGUGCGCAACCCUUGUCCUUAGUUGC